GAUGAACGCUGGCGGCGUGCCUAAUACAUGCAAGUAGAACGCUGAAGCUUGGUGCUUGCACCGAGCGGAUGAGUUGCGAACGGGUGAGUAACGCGUAGGUAACCUGCCUCUUAGCGGGGGAUAACUAUUGGAAACGAUAGCUAAUACCGCAUAAAAGUCGAUAUCGCAUGAUGUUGAUUUGAAAGGUGCAAUUGCAUCACUAAGAGAUGGACCUGCGUUGUAUUAGCUAGUUGGUGAGGUAACGGCUCACCAAGGCGACGAUACAUAGCCGACCUGAGAGGGUGAUCGGCCACACUGGGACUGAGACACGGCCCAGACUCCUACGGGAGGCAGCAGUAGGGAAUCUUCGGCAAUGGGGGCAACCCUGACCGAGCAACGCCGCGUGAGUGAAGAAGGUUUUCGGAUCGUAAAGCUCUGUUGUAAGAGAAGAACGAGUGUGAGAGUGGAAAGUUCACAC
This 457-nucleotide ribosomal RNA is filed under the name Streptococcus parasanguinis. RNAcentral describes it as "bacterial SSU rRNA". It matches the Rfam family "Bacterial small subunit ribosomal RNA", at positions 28 to 469 of the family's 1533-position model. The record is from RNAcentral. Lineage: Bacteria; Bacillati; Bacillota; Bacilli; Lactobacillales; Streptococcaceae.